Molecule: ribosomal RNA, 33 nt
Filed under: Fusarium solani
Lineage: Eukaryota; Fungi; Ascomycota; Sordariomycetes; Hypocreales; Nectriaceae
Description: partial 18S ribosomal RNA
Source: RNAcentral
CUCCGUAGGGUGAACCUGCGGAGGGAUCAUUAC